This 497-nucleotide ribosomal RNA is filed under the name uncultured bacterium. RNAcentral's name for it is "partial 16S ribosomal RNA". It matches the Rfam family "Bacterial small subunit ribosomal RNA", at positions 28 to 507 of the family's 1533-position model. The record is from RNAcentral.
GAUGAACGCUGGCGGCGUGCCUAAUACAUGCAAGUCGAGCGAACGGACGCGAAGCUUGCUUCCCUGAUGUUAGCGGCGGACGGGUGAGUAAGACGUGGAUAACCCACCUAUAAGACUUGGCUCACUUCGGGAGACCGUAGCUAAUAAUGGAUAAUAUUUUGAACCGCAUGGUUCAUAAGUGAUAGCAGGGCUUGCUGUCACUUAUAGUAGGAUCCGCGCUGCAUUAGCUAGUUGGGAAGGUAACGGCUUACCAAGGCAACGAUGCAUAGCCGACCUGAGAGGGUGAUCGGCCACACUGGAACUGAGACACGGUCCAGACUCCUACGGGAGGCAGCAGUAGGGAAUCUUCCGCAAUGGGCGAAAGCCUGACGGAGCAACGCCGCGUGAGUGAUGAAGGUCUUCGGAUCGUAAAACUCUGUUAUUAGGGAAGAACAUAUGUGUAAGUAACUGUGCACAUCUUGACGGUACCUAAACAGAAAGCCACGGCUAACUACGUG